RNAcentral lists this ribosomal RNA (586 nucleotides) under uncultured bacterium. RNAcentral's name for it is "bacterial SSU rRNA". It matches the Rfam family "Bacterial small subunit ribosomal RNA", at positions 338 to 916 of the family's 1533-position model. The record is from RNAcentral.
CCUACGGGAGGCAGCAGUGGGGAAUUUUGGACAAUGGGCGAAAGCCUGAUCCAGCCAUGCCGCGUGCAGGAUGAAGGCCUUCGGGUUGUAAACUGCUUUUGUACGGAACGAAAAGCCUCUUUCUAAUAAAGAGGGGUCAUGACGGUACCGUAAGAAUAAGCACCGGCUAACUACGUGCCAGCAGCCGCGGUAAUACGUAGGGUGCGAGCGUUAAUCGGAAUUACUGGGCGUAAAGCGUGCGCAGGCGGUUAUAUAAGACAGUUGUGAAAUCCCCGGGCUCAACCUGGGAACUGCAUCUGUGACUGUAUAGCUAGAGUACGGUAGAGGGGGAUGGAAUUCCGCGUGUAGCAGUGAAAUGCGUAGAUAUGCGGAGGAACACCGAUGGCGAAGGCAAUCCCCUGGACCUGUACUGACGCUCAUGCACGAAAGCGUGGGGAGCAAACAGGAUUAGAUACCCUGGUAGUCCACGCCCUAAACGAUGUCAACUGGUUGUUGGGAAUUCACUUUCUCAGUAACGAAGCUAACGCGUGAAGUUGACCGCCUGGGGAGUACGGCCGCAAGGUUGAAACUUCAAAGGAAUUGACGG